RNAcentral lists this transfer RNA (66 nucleotides) under Chiropterargas boueti. RNAcentral describes it as "Argas boueti tRNA-Ile". Lineage: Eukaryota; Metazoa; Arthropoda; Arachnida; Ixodida; Argasidae. The record is from RNAcentral.
UAAUAAAAUGCCUGACUAAAGGGCUAUCAUGAUAGGAUAAAUAAAGUAAAAGUUACUUUUAUUAAC